CCUACGGGGGGCUGCAGUAAGGAAUAUUGGUCAAUGGACGAAAGUCUGAACCAGCCAUCCCGCGUGCAGGAUGAAAGCCCUAUGGGUUGUAAACUGCUUUUAGCAGAGAAGAAAAGCUUUCAUUAAUGAGAGUCUGACGGUAUCUGCAGAAUAAGCACCGGCUAACUCCGUGCCAGCAGCCGCGGUAAUACGGAGGGUGCGAGCGUUACCGGGUGUAAAGGGUGCGAAAGGGGGGGUAGGAGGCAGUGGUGAAAGCUUGUCGCUUAACGUUAAAAUUGCCAAUGAUACUGGUACUCUUGAAUUGGGUUGAGGUUAGCGGAAUGUGACAUGUAGCGGUGAAAUGCAUAGAUAUGUCAUGGAACACCAAUUGCGAAGGCAGCUAACUGGGCCUUGAUUGACGCUGAGGCACGAAAGCGUGGGUAGCGAACAGGAUUAGAUACCCUAGUAGUC
This 450-nucleotide ribosomal RNA is filed under the name uncultured bacterium. RNAcentral's name for it is "partial 16S ribosomal RNA". It matches the Rfam family "Bacterial small subunit ribosomal RNA", at positions 338 to 795 of the family's 1533-position model. The record is from RNAcentral.